RNAcentral lists this ribosomal RNA (914 nucleotides) under uncultured bacterium. RNAcentral describes it as "bacterial SSU rRNA". It matches the Rfam family "Bacterial small subunit ribosomal RNA", at positions 82 to 1027 of the family's 1533-position model. The record is from RNAcentral.
CUACUUGUAGGGAGCGGCGGACGGGUGCGUAACGCGUGGGAAUCUGCCCUGAAGCGAGGGAUAAGCCCGAGAAAUCGGGUCUAAUACCGCAUAUGGUCUACGGAUUAAAGCCUUCGGGCGCUUCGGGAGGAGCCUGCGUUCGAUUAGCUUGUUGGUGAGGUAAUGGCUCACCAAGGCUAUGAUCGAUAGCUGGUCUGAGAGGAUGAUCAGCCACACUGGGACUGAGACACGGCCCAGACUCCUACGGGAGGCAGCAGUAGGGAAUUUUCCACAAUGGGCGAAAGCCUGAUGGAGCAAUGCCGCGUGCAGGAUGACAGCCUUCGGGUCGUAAACUGCUUUUAUGAUUGAGGAUUAUGACGUUAGAUCAUGGAUAAGCUUCGGCUAACUCCGUGCCAGCAGCCGCGGUCAGACGGAGGAAGCAAGCGUUAUCCGGAGUGACUGGGCGUAAAGAGAUGCGUAGGCGGUAUAUUAAGCGGACAGUGAAAUCUUGAGGCUCAACCUUGAGGCUACUGUCUGAACUAAUAUACUAGAGCCCGAUAGGGGAAGCUGGAAUUCCUAGUGUAGGAGUGAAAUCCGUAGAUAUUAGGAGGAACACCAAUGGCGAAGGCAGGCUUCUGGAUCGGUGCUGACGCUCAGGCUCGAAAGCGCGGGGAGCGAACGGGAUUAGAUACCCCGGUAGUCCACGCCGUAAACGAUGGAUACUAGCUAGUUGGAGGUAUCGACCCCUUCAGCAGCGAAGCUAACGCGUUAAGUAUCCCGCCUGGGGAGUACGGUCGCAAGAUUAAAACUCAAACGAAUAGACGGGGACCCGCACAAGCGGUGGAGCGUGUUCUUUAAUUGGAUGAUAAGCCAAGAACCUUACCCAGACUUGACAUCCUUGGAAGGACUACGAAAGUAGUCUGUGCCUUUGGAAC